AAUAGUUUGUUGCCCAAUUCAGUAACUGAGCAGACACAGGUUUGAUCCACAAUGAUAGCAUCUUGCUUAUUUUAUUUUAUUUUCAUUUCUUCUUCACCAGAACAAAACGACGAGGCUUGAUAAGAGUGUCUUAUGUGAUCAAUGACAUCGUCAUGUCAUCGUCUUUAUUGUCCUCUUUCCUUUUUCGAGUGUGACUUUUUUUCCGGCGACAUGCUUUGCGUCCACUUCGUUCUUAACCCUGUUUUUGCUUUUCCAAACUCACUGAAAUCGAUUAUCGUAAACUACCAGAUUUUUGGAGCUCGGGGACUCCCUCGAUUCAUUCGGUGUCCUCAAGGGUAAGGAAAUUUUGCUCUUUCAGUCAUUUCGUGAAGUUUCUCCGAUGUGGUGAGCAAACUACUGAUUCGUUUUCGAUCUAACAAUUUCUAGAAUCUUUUUUCGGGUGCCAUCGACCUCUGCCUCCGACAAUGGAGGAUCUGUAACCUCCCUAGCUCCAGGUCCGCCCUCGUCCUCCAGCACGUUUAAUUAGUUUCAUACAGAUGGUGGUGGUGGUCUUCUUUUUUUGAUUUCAGUUUGUUUGAAAUAAGAUUCGACGAAUUAAACGUCUCGCCGGAAUUCUAUCUAUGCUCGCCGGUUUCUGGGACCAGUGUAGAAGAUGACUUGGGAAAAUGUUUAUGACAGCCCCUGGAGAUUUCACUGAUCACAUUUUGGUCAACAGACUUUUAGUAAUUCUAUUGAAAUCCUACAGUUCUAGAAAUCAGGUUUCGAGUACAAAACUGUUAGAAUCAGACAGUUCAGACAUCACCUGUCCCUUAUUUUUUGUCUGUGGGCAGUAACUUUAUGAUUUUGACAGAACAUACCCAAAUAGCUUUCUAAAUAGUAUAAUUUAGUACGGAAUCCAAUUAACUCAUUAAUCGUCAAUUAAUUUAGACCUAUAAUUUUUUCCUAAUAGUUUCAAGGCGGUAAUAAAUUAAAAAUAGAUUAUUAAAAUUAUACCAGCAUGAUUAAGUAAAUUUUGACUAUGAAUAAAGUUUUUAAUUUUUUGAUCAAAUGUAUGCACUAUAUAUAAAACAUAACGAGAAAUCAACUGUACAAAAUUAGAAGGAAGAACCUAGACCGAAAAGGUAAAAUAAAAGAUAAAAAACCCCUAUAAGGACACCUACAUUUCCACUGUAAAAACUACAGCAGACAUUAUACUACCCAUCAUAAAAAACAACAAAGCGAUCAUCCAUGAAAAAAAGAACACACUCAAAGCCACACAAAAAAAACAAAAUCCUACAACCCAAGCAAUAAAAAAAAUCAGUUGGAUCAUUGAUAUGAUUAUUUCAUCUAACAAUUUUUGUCUCUGAGAACAAACCAGUAACAAAAAGCCACCUACCAACAUCAGUCAAGAUCUUAACCACAAUUCUCCUAACCGAACUCACUCGGUCCUUGAAAAUCCUAUUGUUUCUUUCGAUCCAUGGACACCAAAACAUUGCCGGCAUAAGAACCUUCGUAGCAUCAUGGAAAGUCGCAACACAGUUCAUACCUUUCCAAGCCGACACAAACUCCUGAAUGCUAUUCAGAAUCAGUUCAUACCUCAAUUGUGAUUUAAUUGAGUUAGGUUAGUAAUCUAAGAUUGAAACAAGGUGUGUGUGGACCAAGACACAACCCAAUUCAACCUUUAGUGUAAGGAUUUCCUUAGCGAUAUUUCAUCGAACACUUAGAGUGCAUUCCAUUAAUCACUUAGGUAGUGACCAAACUUGAGUGAUUGGGACGUUUGGUGUGUCAUAUGGUGACUAGCGCUCUUCGUGUUUGUGGUGUCAUUAAGGCUUUCUAAGCAACUUGGCAUUUCAUCGAACACCAUGUGUUCACUACCAAUUGACUUGAUUACUUGUGAAUUGGCAGUGGUAAUCCAUUACAAGACCUUGUCUUAGAUUUCUUCAAGUGCCUAGAGUAGUAUCGAAUCAUAAAUCGUGUCCAAAGUGUCCAAUUUCUUCGAUGAGUCAGAUUUGAGCAUAUUCAAACACUCGAAGUCUAGCAACCCUCCUUUCUUUCUUUGACCUUCUCACUCUUUUCUUUUGUUUAGUUUGAUUGCUUUGAAUUGCUUUGAUAAAUUUAGUGAAUGCUUAGUAAUUUAGUUGGUAACUUUGGAAACUAGUUUAAACCGUGUCUGUAAACGUUAAGUAGAAGCUAGUGAACCUAUCCUCCUGACAUAAGACACUUGUAAUUAGGAAUUGGGUCCACACCCUUUUUCUUGGUGAUCAGAAGGGACACAUUUAGUAGUUUAAGAUCUCCUUGAACACACAACCCACCAUUCUAUCUAGGGGUCUUAACCAAAUUCCAAUCCACUAGUGUAUUUUGUCUAUGUCCGUGUUACCGGCCCAAAGAAAUCGGGUUUGAAUCCUUUCCAGCCGACCAAUAAUCUUUGCGAGGGCUUUGAAGACAGAUAAUUAGUAGACAUGCAAACUAGACAACACACCCUUGAGGAGAGUAAUCCUAGCUCCAAAACACAGAAGCUUAUCUUUCCAACUCUCAACUUUUUGCUUAAGAUUUUCCACCAUAGGAUCCCAAAUCAAUCCCUAACACAAUCAAGACCCAAAACGAAGGCUAAGAUAAGUGAAAUGAAGAUAGUCUGAGUUACAUCCAAAGGUAGCAGCCAGAACACUCGCAUCAUCCACAAUCCAACCGUGUACAUGGGAAGACUUAUCCAGGUCAACUUUAAGACUAGUGAUGCUCUCAAAGCAAAUCAAAACAGCCAUGAUGUACCGCACUUGAGAAACAGAAGCUUCAUUGAAUAGCAACGCAUCAUUGCAUAAAAGUAUGGGUGACCUGAUUAAAGGUUUUAAAGAUUAGACGAAACGAGCAAUCAAGAAAAUCGAACGUAACCCUAAUCGAGCAAAAAAAUUAACAAAAGGUAAAGCAAGAACACACAGAUCUGUUCACGCAGUUGAGGUCACAAAUACCCUAAUCUGCAGAGCCUCUGGAGGGGGAGACUCACCCUUGAAUCCACUAAAAUGAAGUAGAAGUACAACCAGAUACAAUGAUUACAAUAGCAAAGCAGAGCAAGAAGCAUACGAAGGAAAAACAGUUACAGAAACUAGAUCAAGGGAAGAGCACAACUCUAUUACACGAUUGAAGCGACGACAAAAGCUUUAACAUCAAUCGAGGAUCUUCACCGAUUGAUUCCAAGAACAACCCUAGAAGUCUCCAUAGCUUAUAGAGAGCAUUUUGAAUCCCUUCUCUCAUUUAUACUUAUCAUUAAUUCCAGAUGAAGAGACUAAGUAGUCAAGUCACCCUUUAAUGCACAACGUAGAAUCUCAAUUGUAAGUGGAGUAGAGUUGGGUCGACCCAGUCGGUCACAUUCUGAUCCAACCGUGAGCGGGCAGGGAGGUGGUCAGGCCGGUUGAACCUGGGUCACAAAUAACAUUGACCAUUUUGUAGCUGCUCGUUCAUACAGUAGCCAUUAAUCAAACCCCGAUAUGAAGUUUGGUGAAAAUUCUUGACAAAAGCUCCAUAACACCAAUGAAAAGAAAGGGGGACAACAAAUAUCCUUGCAGUAAACCUCUGCUGCUCCAGACGUAGCAUGCCGCCUCACCGUUAACAAGAAUUGAGAAAGACAUCAUCGUAACACAGCACUCAAGCCACCCAAUCUACUUGUCAGAGAAACCCAUCCUAUUCAAGACUCUGAACAGCCACUUCCAAUUAACAUUAUCAUACGCUUUUAGAUAAAAAGCUUUAGAAUCAACCCUAGGAGACCAAUCUUAACUCUAGAAUCCACCACUUCGCCAACUUGUGGGAGGCUAUCAAAUGAGAAGCAACAGACCAACAAUGGCCUGAAGCUCGAGGAGGAAGGUGAUGAAGAAUCGGACGAUGAAGACAAUGAAUUAAGUGACCAAGUUGUCAAUAAGUAAAAGUUGAGUGAUCAAUGUGUAACGCGAGUUGAGUGUUUUAAAUAGAACUGUGUCGUUUUGUUUUGGUGAGACGGAUGACUGCCACGUGUCGCAGUCAUACCUCUAUUCUUACCGUUUAAUUAGUUACCAUACAGUAAAACUGGAAGCUGAGUGUAUAAGUACAGAAAUGGAGAAAUGAAAGAACUCAACGAUUUCCAGCAAACAUUUCAGCACCUCUUCUUCCUUUCUCUCUCCCUCUCGCUCAAUCGAGCUCAUCUGAAAGGUCAGAAGGAAUAAUGAUGAAGAAAACUUUUCCAUUUUGACAGGGCUCAUAGAUUUUCACAAUCGGAGACCCAUCUAAAUGAAACUUCGUGACAAAUAUUGUCCUCCAGCGGGCCUCUUUCUUGCAAACCAGAUGAAAACGACCACCCUAAUCCGGUAACCACCUUCAACACUCAUUCCAGCCAUUUCAAAUAUAGAGAAUCCAUAAGUAAAAAGGCUGCGAACCAUCUUGCACAAGCUCAAGCUUGAAAUCUGACCCAAACUUUCCAUUCUACUCUUUGUGACGGGCCUACCCGUGUCAAUUCGUUUGGGCUAAUUAUGGGUAGAUAUAUUAUUAUUAUUUCAAUUAGACUAUUAUAAUUUCAGUUAGAUAGAUAGAUUAUUUCGGUUAUCGCUAUUGUUCGAUUAGUAGUUUUGAUUUUGUAAAUAAGAUCUAUUUAUGCACGUUGUCAGUUGAGGAAAAAGGGUAGAACCCUAAUAAAACUACUCUUCUUAUUUAACUUUCUCUUCUACAUCUAACUCUAUUCUUCUCUGUAUCAAUUCCUUCCAUGAUUCUUCCUUCCUAUUCAAUCUAUUUCUUCCUCUCCUUCUAUCAAAUCCCCUCUUUUCGUCAGAUAAAUCCAUCAUAAUAAAAAAAACUCACUUCACAACAAUCCCAAUCCAAUUACCAUAACUCGUUUUACUUCUCUCGAUGAGGCCACCACAUCUCGACAUUUGGAACCCCUCGAAGAUAUUUGGGAAGAUAGACGUUGGAGGAGACCCGAGCCCGUGAUCACGCACUCAAAUUAGGCACGUGACAGCUUGGUAUCAGAGCCCGGUUCCGCCACUAUCCGUAGCGACUCUGAGAUGGAAUAAGAACAGAUGCAGAAAAUGGAGACAUCAAUCGAAGAUCUUCGACAUAUGAUGACCACUUCGAUGCAGUUUCAAGAGCGAGAGCUAGAGCUGGGAGUGUGGCUAGAAGCUCGGCUGAUUGAGAUCUAAGAAAGCGUCAACGUUGUCAUCGGGAGAGUCGAGAGGCUCGAGUGGCAGCAGCCCGAAAUCUUAGUCAAUCCGCAGGGUGGGCGACAAGAUCCUCCAAACAGGGGAAUGGCUCCGGGAGUGAAGAUCGAUUUUCCAAAAUUCACGUUGGGAGACGACCCAACAACCUGGAUUUGUCAAGCUGAACAAUUUUUUAAGUUCUAUCAAACUCUUGAACAACACCGUGCUACUAAUAGUUUCAUUUUAAAAAUAAAACAUCGGAUUAAUAAUAGGGGUGCUACGCUAUUUAUAUCAUUUAAUGUUUUAAACUCCUCCAAUUAAUUUCUUCAUCAUAAUCUAGGAUUUUGUUUAUACGUAUUCAUAUAAUUAAUCCGUCAACACAGAAACUGCUAUAUGAAGGACACAUAUUCCAGAAGUCCAGGAGGACACAUAUACAUAUAGAACAGAAGUCUCGAGCUUCACAGGUUCAGACCAGAGUAACCAUAUACCCGCCCUUAAGGCCACUAUAUUUUACAAUACCAUAUCUCACAUUAUUCUAGUACACAACCACUCAUAGCAUAUGCACUUAAUGAGAGUAAGAGUCUCAAACGUGUUUUAAAACACAAAACGAGGAUCAAUACACAAUAUUCGAUAUCUACCUAGUGUCGUCACCAUGAUGGCCCCACCCCGGAGCUCGAUGAUACCAUUUUGCAGAUUUGUAGUGUGUGAACUAGUAAAGCCUACUAUCGCUCUGAAAUGGAAAGUAAGGGUCAGUGCUAAUCACCGAGUGAGGCUCUCUGUCCUAGUCACUCUAAAGUACAUAUAAUCAUAUAGAAAGUAUAUAGCAUAUAACACAUAAGGCUAGUUCUAUAAUCUAAUUCAUAUACAUAUUUUAUUUGGGAUCCCGGCUCACAUAUGCUGACAACCCACGUAGAGUCAGUGGCACUAAAUGGCCCACGUAGAGUUAGUGUGGCGUUUAUCAAAACCCACGACAAUAGUUAGUUGUGGCGCUUACCAAGGCUCACCGCGUAACAGAAGUGCAAUAAGCGCUAUCGCCAGCAUAUGAGCACUAACUAGGUGAUCAAUCAAUUACAGGAUUUAUUAACUAAUCAGUAAGAGCUACUGCUCAGAUUAACACAUAUAUCAAAUCAGACAUAUCAUCAAAGUAAUAGAACGUGUAUCAUAUUAAGUAAUAAAUAUGGUAAAGAAGUAUAUAUAAUCUUAGGAUUAAACAUACAUUAUCCUAUCAUGCAUAUAGCCUUCAAUAAUAAUAGACUCAUAAUGGAAAGUCUAACCCGGUCGGAUACUCAAGAGACCCUCACCAGAAAUAAUCCUCAAAAACCCCUAUAUCAGCUUCCGAGUUACCACCUUAAUUCCGACAACAGAGUAUUACUGCUAAUUCCUCCAAGUCUCAUUUAUGCAAGAGACUACUCUCUGUGCUCAUAAUGUUGAACUAAAUAAGAAGACCUUUUUAUAGUAGAUAUAAAACAUAUAAAUCCAAUUUGCUAAUUAACCUACUUUAUCCAUUUGGCUUACGUGAUCAUGCAUGAAUCUGUACAUGCAUGCAUUAGGAGGAAAAAAUAUUGGAUGGGGAGACUCCAACUCAAGCUUACCAUGUGCAUGGCUGGAUAAAAAAUCUAUCUGUGCAUAUCCAUAUCUGUAUGAGAAUUAUUCUUGUAUUUGUACAUUACCACAUACCACAUUAAUUUAGUUGGUACUUUUGGUACGAUCGGCCAGAAUGUUAUCAUUUCUGGAAACUUUUACAUUAAUAUUUUCGUAUUAGGAUCAGAAUAUUACAUAUGCUUCAAUUGUGACAAGGAAUUUGCUCCGGAUUACCAUUGUAAGAAGCUCUUUUUGAUCAAACUAUUGGACGAAGAGGAAGGUGAAGUUCAAGAGCAGAAUGAAGAAGGACCCAUGCAUGUAAUAUCCAUGGCAGCUGCAUGGGGAUUGGAAGCAAGAGAGACUAUGAGGGUGUGGGGAACCUUGAGAGGAAAGAUAGUGAGGGUGUUGAUAGAUAGCGGGAGCACGCACAAAUUCAUCAACACUCGAAUUAUUGAUAAGAUGGGGUUGAUACCGGAGAAUGGGACAUGAGUAUCGCUAAUGGUAGGUAACGGAGAGAAGGUUCAAAGUCCCAGGCGAUGUUCAAUAGUUGCAGUCUUCCUACCAGGCAUGAGCUUUAUGGAGGGCUUUCAUUUGCUGAAUAUGGGAGGAUAUGAUGUGAUUUUAGGUACAAUUUGGUUACGACGGUUGGGAGAAAUUAAGUAUGGCUUCCAGGAUUUGGUGAUGUAAUUCGAAUGGCGGGGAAUACAGUGUGUGCUUCAUGGGAUCAGCACGACGCCCUGCAGAGAAGUUUAUGUGCAUGAAUGGGCUGGGAAGCGAGGCGAGUCGGAGAGGGAUACGUCUUAUACAUGAUGACUAGAGAGGAAUACGACAAGACUCCUCAUAUAAACAACGACGACUUGAGUUGCGUGGAAAAAGAACUACUUCAGGAGUACGAGGAUCUAUUUCAAGAACCAACUCAACUACCACCAGACCGCAACCACGAGCACCAUAUCCACAUGCAACCUGGGAGUACGCCGGUAAACCAUCAACCGUACGGACACCAACACUAACUUAAGGAAGAAAUCACUAACUGGGAGUGUUGCAUUCGUGCAAGUAAUGUUGGAAUGAGGAAUUGUAAGGCCAAGUCAAAGUCCAUACUCCUCGCCGGGUGUAAUGGUCAAUUAGCAAGAUUGAUCAUGGCAUUUGUAAGUUGACUACAGAGCUAUAAAUCAGGUAACAAUCAAGGACAAGUUUCCCAUUGCAGUGAUCGAUGAGUUAUUGGAUGAAUUGCGAGGCGCCUGAUAUUUCACCAAGUUCGAUCUUCGAUCUGGAUAUUAUCAAAUCCGGGUAGCGACCGACGACAUUCUGAAGACGGCUUUUUGUACUCAUCAAGGUCAUUAUGAAAGAGAUAUUCCGACCCCUGCUUUCAAACUUCGUAUUGGUAUUGAUGAAUGAGAUAUUCCGACCCCUGCUUUCAAAAUUCGUAUUAGUAUUUAUUGACGAUAUCUUGAUACAUAGCGCUGAUCCGAAACUCUACUUACCACAUUUGAGAGAAGUCUUCACAAUAUUACACCAGCAUCAAUUGUUUGUUAAAAGAGAAAAAUGCUCCUUUAUUCAAUAGUGAUCCGAUAUUUGGGUCAUGUAAUCUCCGAAUUGGGAGUAGCGGUGGAGCCUGAGAAGAUAUCAGACAUCGUGUGUCGACCCGUUCCGAAAAAUAUAAAAUCAUUACGAGGGUUCUUGGGAUUAACAGGCUAGUAUAGGAAAUUCAUAAGAGAUUACGGAAAGAUAGCGUCCCUGUUAACUAUGUUGCUAAAGAAAUGUGCUUUCUAAUGGAGCAACGAAGCACAAGUAGCCUUUCAAGAACUUAAGGCAGCGAUGAAGAAGGCUCCCGUCUUGGUCUUGCAGAUUUCAAUCGAGAAUUCAUAGUUGAGUGUUAUGCGAGUGGAGUGGGGCGAGAGUGGGAGCAGUACUUAUGCAGGAUCAAAGAGCUAUUGCUUAUUUCAGUUGAGCAUUGAGAGGUAAACAUCUAGCCCUCUCCACUUACGAGAAGGAAAUGUCGGCGUUAGUUUUGGCAAUUAAAAAGUGGCGGCCUUACCUCUAGGGGCGACGGUUCAUAGUUAGAAGCGACCAAUGCAGCUUGAAGUAUCUUCUCGAGCAGAAUAUAAUCACUCCUAUGCAAGAAAAGUGGGUAUCUAAACUACUCGGAUACGACUUUGUGAUCGAGUACAAGAAGGGAAGCGACAACGGGGCCGUAGACGCACUCUCUAGGUGGCAUGAGAUGAUGGCAGUUACCACCCCAAGUCGUAAAUUGGCUUAGUACCAUGUUGGAAGAAAUUGAGUCCUGUCCCACGUUGGGGAACUUCGGAACUCGAUGCUUAGAUGGCAAGCUCGAUGAAUCUUGGGAGGUUAAGGGUGGGGUUGUGUAAAGAAAGGAACGAAUAUAUUUGCAUGGAGAUUCAGAAUUGAUACCCACCGUAAUCGAGGAGAUGCAUGCUAGCCAGCAUGAAGGCUGCCAUGACGGAUUCACCUUUCGAAGAUGGGACACUUCAUAGGAUUGUCACACCCUUACACGGCGGAAUCGGUCGCAGGGCUUUUCUACCGGCAUGUGACAAAGCUGUAUGGAUUUCGAUCGGGAUCCCACUUUGACUACCUCAUUUUGGACUGAACUUUUUGGCCUCCAAGGAACUCAUUUCAACUUUAUCUCGACCUAUCACCCUAAAACUGAUGGAAAGAACGAAUUGGUGAACAUGACCUUGGAGAUGUACUUGCAUUGCGUUUCAGGAGAUCGGCCAAAAGAGUGGCAUAAGCGGCUUCCGUGGGCGGAAUUCUGUUACAACACCAGUUGGCACACUUUGACCAGGCACACCCUAUAUGAGGUAGUAUACGGAUGUCAACCUCCAACUCUUCUCUUGUACGUGCCUGGAGGUACAAAUCUAGCUGCUGUUGAGAUGGAAAUGUUUGACAUGGAUGAGGUGUUGAAGAAUGUUAGGAAGCGGAUGGCCCAAGCCCAAGAGAGAAUUGAAGAAAUAUUAUGACGUUAGACGAGCAGAGAAAGAGUUUAAAGUGGGUGACUGGGUGUAUAUAAAACUCUAGCCGUACCGGCAAAUAACAGCGAGUCAACAUCGAAAUUGACAAGUUAGGACCGCGAUUUUACGGACCCUACCAGGUGAUGGAGCGCAUCGGUAAGCUGGCCUAUCAGGUAGACCUUCCAGCGGACGCGAGGAUUCAUCAAGUGUUUCAUGUAUCCAACUUGAAGCUAGCUCGACGAAGUUCAGGGAGUCGCAACAGCGUUGCCAGCCACAUCUGACUAACCAGGUCCAACCCCGGUGGCGAUUCUUGGAUGAUGCUAGAAACGAGGGAAAGAAGAGGUCCUUGUUUAUUGGACGCACACCACACCGGGAAAUGCGACGUGGGAAGACUGGAACCAUCUACAAAUCCAAUUUCCGGAAAUUCUUGAGGACAAGAAUACUUUCGAGAGGGGUGGCAUGUGACUGGAUUGGCCACGUCAAUUUGUUUAGGCUCAUUAUGGAUAGAUAUAUUAUUAUUACUUCAGUUGGAUUAUUAUAAUUUCGGUUAGAUAGAUAGAUUAUUUUGGUUAUUGCUAUUGUUCGGUUAGUAAUUUUGAUUUCAUAAAAGAAGGGGUGUAUUUAUGCAGAUUGUCCAUUGAGGAAAAGAGAGGAGAACCCUAAUAAAACUACUCUUCUUAUUCACCUUUCUCUUCUACAUCUAACUCUCUGCUUCUUUGUACCAAUUCCUUCCACGAGUCUUCCUUCCUACUCAAUCUAUUUCUUCCUCUCCUUCUAUAACACGAUCCAAACUCGAACCCUCCCCCACCCGAAAAGAAAAACAAGUAAAAUCCACCCUCACUCUUUCUCUAAACUUAACUCCCUCUCAUAUUCUCUCUUCCUCACUUUUUUAGGUCAUAAUAAGUUAUAAAGUUUUCAAUUAAUUAUAAAAAUUGUAGUUCUUUUAAGUAUUUUCAGUUGGAAUUAAUUAAACCAUAAUAACCCAUUCUUACUAGUAUUAAUAUGAUUAUAAACUAAUAAUAUACUUUAAUAUAAUUUUAAUAUGUUUAGGAAAAUGUAGAUUGAUUAGUAGUUAAUGGGCGAAAGUGCUAAUGGUCCAAUGGGCCCAAUUUUUUGGACCGUCCAAAUUUAGUUUUGCCAAUUUCAAUUUAACCGUUGGAAUAUUACCAAAGAUAUAAGGAGAAUUAAAAAAAUAUUUUUUCUUUUUCAGUUUUUUUUUUCUCCUCUCUUUCUUCUCUUCUCACAUAAACUAGAUAUAAUAAUGACAUAACAUUGAUACUAUAAUAACGUAACAUGGAUAUAACAAUUUACAUAUAACAUGGACAUAGCAAUGAUGUAAUAAUGACGUAACGGGGACAUAAUAAAAACGCAUAGCAAACUCGUAAAGUGUAUAUAUCACCGACAUAAAAGAGUGGUAAACUAGACAUACCGAUGAUGAAUUUCACUACUCUCAAGGUUGACGAAGUGUAUAUAUCACCGACAUAAAAGAGUGGUAAACUAGACAUACCGAUGAUGAAUUUCACUACUCUUAAGGUUGACGUAACAACGACAUAACGAGCUUGUAACAUGGUUGUAUUAGCGACAUAACAUGCUCGUACAAUGACCACGACUAUGUGACUAUUUCCAAUUUUUUUGUUCCGAAACUACCCUCCACUCAAGUCAAUUCGUUUGAAUCAUUUUCGGCCAUUGGAUGAAACUUGACCGAAAAUUGCCUGAUCCAACGGCCAGAAUCUGUCAGGACGAUUUCGCAGGACGAAUCUCUCAGAUCAUUAGUCUGGUUGGUUAUUGGGGAUGAUUUAUUCUAAGUAAUAAUUAGAAAUUUUUCUUAUAAGUUUGUAAAUUAAAUAGAAUCCUUAUGAGAUUCUGGAUGUUCCUAAAGCUUGUCAAAAUCUUCUUUCGAUAAGUGCUCUGACCCGUGAUAAUUAUCUUUCCAUCUCGUUCUUUUAUGAUUGAUUGUUUAUUCAGAACUUAACAUCACGCCAUCUUGUCUCUAUCCCAUCCCGAUGUCAGUGCUCCAUCCCAACCGUAGUUUUGCUCAAAAAAAUUCGGUCACUUUGGCUCAAUGGUACCAAAGAUUAGGUCAUGCCAAUUUAGAUAAUGUUAAGUAUAUUUUAAGACGCUUUUCUUUGCCUUUUCCCAAUAAGCGGUUGAAUUCUAUUUGUUAUGAUUAUUGUGUAGGCAAGAUACAUAAAUAAUUUUUUUCCUAUUUCCUCUUAUCAAGCGCCCGGAUCAUUAGAUUUGAUUUAUAGUGUUGUUUGGGAACCUUCCCCAGUUAAAUCUAUUGAUAAACAACGUUAUUAUAUUCUAUUUUAUGAUCAAUAUAACAAAUAUAGUUUGAUCUAUUUUGUCAGUUUAUGUUUUUAUUCAUUUUUGUUUCGUGGUUGAAACUUAUUUUGCUAUGUUGAUUCUCACCUUUCGUAUUGAUUGGGAUGGUGAAUAUCAAAGACUUCUUUAUUACUUGAAAAAACAUGUCAUCGUUUUCCAGCGAUCGUAUCCUCAUACUCACAAACAAAACAUAUAUGUUGAACGGAAGCAUCGUCACAUAACCAAAAUUGACAGGACUUUGAUUCAUCAAACGUAUAUUCCUCUCAAAUACUAAACAUAUGCCUUUAGCGUCCUAACAUAUCUCAUAAAUAACCUUCAUUCGCCCCCUCUUAAUUUUGUGAUUCCAUAUACUGCUUUGUUUAAUUCUGUCUCAGAUUAGGAAAUGCUCAAAGUUUUUGGUUACCUUUGUUUUCCAUGGUUAAAGCUCGACACUCCUCAUAAACUUGCUCCUAACUCUGUUCCAUUUGUUUUCCUUGGUUAUACUAUCGAGCAUCAAGGCUAUUAUCUUCUUAAGUUUAUUCUUUCAACGUCCAAGUUUGUAGACAUGUGAUGUUUGAUGAAUCUACCUUCAUAUUUCAGGUACCCGCGUUUGCUCAGAGUGCCAUCCACAACUCAAUCAACUACCAACUUCAAAAUCCUUACUUUAUCAUCAUCCAUAAUUAUUCAAAAUCCUUACUUUAUCAUCAUCCAUAAUUAUUCAAAAUCCUUACUUUAUCAUCAUCCAUAAUUAUUCCCGACCCCUCACUCAACCCCACCUCCGCACCCAUCACCUUACCAACUCCACAGCCUCCAAGCCCACCACUCUCAACCCCCACAUCUUCCGUCCACCCUACUCCUACAAAUCACACAUCCACAACUGCCACUGAUCCACCUACCAACCCAGUCAACCCGCUGUGGAUGGUGACCCACUCACAAGUUGGCACAUUUUUUGCACGAACAUUCGCUACUAGUACUAACAAUGCGACCUUUGAGCCAACUUGUUUCCCUAAGGCAAAUAAGUAUGAGCAUUGGCGAUGGAAAUGCGUAGUGAACUUGGGGCUCUAUUACUAAACUACCUUAGGAUCUCGUACCUACAUCAACGGGUAUACAAAAUUAAUCGCAAUCCCGACGGAUCCGUCUCUCCUUACAAAGCACGCGUUGUUGCAAAAGGCAAUCAUCUACAAGAAGGCCUUGACUUUAAUGAGAAGUUUAGCCUAAUCGUCAAACCCACAUCUAUUCGAAUUAUUCUCUCCAUGGUCGUCUCUCACAUUUGGCCCCUUAACCAGUUAGUGUUCUCCAACGCUUUUCACCAACCACCGGGUUUUUGUUGAUCCACUCAGGGCCAAUCAUGUUUGUCGACUAAAAAAGGCUUUAUAUGGUUGCCGACAAGCUCUGCAAGAAUGGUUUUCUUGUCUACGAGAUGCUUUCAUCACUCGUCUUGGCUUUUAAGGUUCGAAAAUGGACACUUAUUUUCUUUAAUACUACUAAUGUCGCACUUAUGUUUGUCCUUGUCUAUAUAUAUGACAUCAUUAUAAUUGGUGCUUUCUCCGACUCGAUUAAUUCUGUCAUGAAUCAACUCGUCGGAUGGUUUCAACUCAAAGACCUUGGAGCUCUCUCUUAUUUUCUUGGUAUCAAAGUUCAGCGCGUCACUUCUGGUCUUCAUUUGUCACACACUAAAUACAUUCAAGAUUUACUUCACAAGGCCGGUCUCUACACCGCCCAGCCUUUGUUGUUGUUGUUUUCAAAGUCGCUGCCAUGGGAGGACUCACCUUUCGGUCGCCCAAUAUUUUUCCGUCAACAUAUGCCUUUUUUCAUUAUCAUUCGGAAGAAUGAGAGAGAGUGGGAGUUUAGAGCGAGAGUGGGUGAGGGGGCGGGGGGUUGGGGUAGGUAGGGAUCGAAGCGGCAAAGCUCUUAGAAUUCUAGACUCUACUGUCUUCAUCCAGAAGAAAAAUGGUUUUGCCGGAGGGAACUUCCAAGUGACGGUGGCAGACUCCAAGAGGUCCUUUUUCAUAGUCUUGGCAAAUUCCCAUCUGAAGUGGUUGGUUGACACGAUGCAGGUAGCAGCUGCCCAGCGUUGGCGAUUUCCGCUUCACUGCGAGCGGGAGUGCAAAAGGAUCCUCGCUGUAGGCUGUAUAUGGAGAAACGGGAAGAGGUGGUUGUGUCUUUCUGAAUCAUGUAGCAAUGGCAUAUACUAUUUCAUCAAGAUUCCCGUUGAACCUUUCUCUGAUGGAUGGCUCAAUCUACUAAAGUUUUUUGGAGGUAUGUUAGAGCGGCCUGAUAUCUCUCAUCGGGAGGUAGUCAGAAGGUCCUAUGCUGCGGUGAUUCGACCUAAGACCUUCACGGAUGAAGGAGACUGUAAGAUUUCUAUCUCGGGUGGGGUCCAGUCAGUCAUGGUCGCUGAUAUUGGUGUGACUGAUCGUGAGGCAUAUCUUGAUUGUUGUUUGGUGUUCCGAUUGUCUGGGGCCUCUCUCUCAGCGGCGGACUGGCUCCUCUUUUACGAUUGGGCUCAGAAAACUUGGGGAGUGCUCAUAGAGGACAUAAUUAUUUUGGAGGAUGGGCUAUGGAUGGUUAAGCUUCCGACGAAAGACGAUAUCUCAAGAAUCAUGAAUAUCAGAAGAUGGAAAUUUAGAGAUAGAAAUAUUGCUGCUGAUGGAUGGUGCAAGUGGGCUGGACGGUCGAACAUAGAAGCUAAGGCGGGUUUGGUUUGGCUAAGGAUUAUUGGCUUGCCACUACAUUUGCGCUCGUCUUCCUUAUUUAGACAGCUGGGAAAUUGUUGCGGCAAUUUUCUCGAAUACAACUUGGAGGGAUGUUCCUACAACACAGUUAGGGUGAAGGUUAAGGCUUUGAAUACUAUCCCAUGUCGAAUCCCUGUAACCUUCAAUGGAGACUGCUUCUCCGUGCAGGUGGUGGUUGAAAGCGGAGAUGAUUUCAUCGACGGUUGGAAAGGUACAUGCCCAGAUGUGUAUGUGCGAUAUCUGGCAAGUCGAACAAGGUGGACGGGUUUGGGUCGAUUGGUUGAUGGGCUGAAAGGCGUAGAAACGGCUCAAGCAACAGAUGGUGGGAUGGGAAAGAGCGCCGAAAUGACAGAAGGUGACCACUCAAAGACACAGAUGGAAGUAAUUAGAGCCUCCGAGUUUGAGGACAUGCGUUUGAAGAUUGACAGUGAGAAAAUCUCUGACACAGAUCUUGAAGAAGGCGAGUUUAUACAAAGUGAAAAAGUUGGAGAAGCCUUUUACUCAGAAGGGAAAGUUUCAGUCUCUAUGAAGGUGGCUGGUGAGGUGCGGAACAAAGCGGACAGAGAAAGGUCUAUGGAUGGGGCCACCACGGCAAGGGUGGAAGAUCUUCUUGUGGUAGAUGGAGUUCUUAAAGAUAAUGGGCCAACUGAGCAUGUGCACAGUCCGAUUGGGCCUGCCUCAGAAGCUGAAAGGCUGCAAUUUUGGCCUUUCUCUCGAAGAGAUCCAUCUCAGUCAAAAGAGACUUUAGAUUUGGGCUUCAGUAUUGGGCUUUGCUCUGAAAAGGCUGUUGGUAAUGAGUGGGCCGCAGGAAAGUUUUGAGUCUUCUCAGUCUGUUGGGCCGGUUGAGCUUUCUAGAGACUGCCCAACUUUGAGAUUCCAAGAGGAACAUUUUUUUGAAGAACUUCGAAGAAGCAGGAGCGACUCCCUAUCAGAUGAUGAUUUCAGAGAAGCAGAAAUUGAAGACUCCACUUCUGAGUGGGAGAGCAGCAUCGAGGGGGAAGCAACGAAUUCAAAAAAAUACAAAGAAUCAACAAUUCAUAUGAGGAUGCGGUUAUCAACAUGAGUAUGCUCAUUUCAGAAAAAUUGGAGCUGGAAAUCAAUGGAUCACGUUCAGAUGCAGAUGAUGUUGUAACAGACGUGGCUAAACAAUUAUUUGCUAAGAGGAAGAAAGCCAAUCAUUCAUCCACAAAGGAGAGAGAAUGACCCCGACGCAAAAAAAAGGUUAGUCUAAAAUGCCGUAAAUCCCAAUGAUUGUUAAAAACUUAAGUUGGAACGUACGUGGUUUAGGAGAUGACCGUAAGAAAUAUAGAGUACGGGAUCUUAUCGCACAAUGGAAACCAAAUAUUCUUUGUCUUCAGGAAACAAAAUGGUCGUUAUGUCUUGAUUUAGACGUGUUCUUCCUUUGGGGCUCUAGGCAUGUUGAAUGGGUCUCUAAAGAUUCGGAAGGAGCUUCAGGUGGUUUGUUGACUGCUUGGGACCCCUCUAAGUUCAGAAUUUGUGCACAAUGGGUUGGAAGGUUUGCGAUUGUGGUUGUUUUAGAGUCUAUACGAGACGAUUUUCAAUGGUGUUUGGUGAACUGUUACGGCCCCUGUGACAGGAAUCUGAAACUGGACUUCAUUAAUGAGCUGAAAGCUUUUUCUCAAUGGUGGAUGAUGCCAGUCUGUGUUAUGGGUGAUUUCAAACUUGUGAGAUCUUUGGAGGAAACUAAAGGAGGUGGUGGGAGUAGACUAGAGAUGGACCUGCUCAAUAACCUAUAGCUGAAUUGGAAUGGGUGGAUCUCCCUCUCUGUGGGGGACGAUAUACUUGGAAAAACUUUCAUGAACAACCUAUUAUGUCUAGAUUAGAUAGAGCUCUUGUCUCUGGAGAUUGGGAGACGCAUUUUCCCGACUGUAAGGUUAAUGUGUUUCCUAGAGUUUGCUCUGACCAUAACCCUCUUCUACUCACUACUGGUUGGGAAGCAUUUAUUAAAAGGCCAUGGCUCUUUGAAUUAAUGUGGAUGAAACAUCCUGAGUUUCAAAACUUUUUGCAAACAAUUUGGGAGGAUAACAUCACGGGGUCAGGAGGUAUGUUCCGGCUACCUCUUAGGCUAAAGUAUAUCAAAGACAAGCUUAAAACAUGGAACAAGGAUGUGUUUAAGUGUAAUGAAGCGGAGAUUGAUAAGGGGUUAGAAACCAUCAAUAAUCUUGAUAGACAAAAGGAAAGUGGAAUUUGGAGUGAGGACCUCAGAUUUCAGCGAUGUUUUCUGAAACUUGAACUGGACAAGUUGUGGAAGAGACAAGAAAUCAGCUGGAGACAGAAAUCUAGAGAUUGACAUCUAAAGUUGGGGGAUCGAAACACGACUUAUUUUCACAAAAUUGCUAGCCAAAACAGGAGGAGGAAUUGGGUGGAUAGGAUUGCCAUCGGUGAGGAGGUUUAUGAGGGACAUGAGGCAGUGGCUCAUGCAAUUGUGAACUUUUAUAAUAAUUUAUACACUGAGGAGGUAGAAGUUCGCCCUUUUCCUGAGAUCACAACUUGGGACAUCAUUACUUCUGAGGCAAGCAAUUUCCUCACCAAAAAGUUUUCAAUGGAAGAAAUUAAAAGGGCUGUGAUGAAUUGCCCCGGUGAUAAGGCACCAGGUCCUGAUGGCUUCAACAUGGAUUUCUUUAAACAUAAUUGGGAGAUUGUGAAAGAGCAGGUAAAACAGGCUUUUGGUGAUUUUUACACUAGAUCUAUCAUCCCAGAUAUGGUUAAUUGCACUUUUGUUUGUCUGAUCCCUAAGAAAGAGAUGGUUGAAGAGGUGAAGGAUUUUUGGCCCAUAAGUCUAACUACUAGUGUGUACAAAAUGAUAUCAAAGGUUCUUAUGGAACGACUUAGAAACAUCAUGCCCUCUCUCAUCUCUAAACAUCAGUGUGCUUUUGUUCAUGGUCGUCAGAUCCUGGAUGCUUCCUUGAUCGCAAAUGAGUUGAUCGAUUCAAGGAUCAAGAGUGGAAGGCCAGGUUUAGUUAUCAAACUUGAUAUCGAAAAAGCUUUCGAUCAUGUUAAUUGGAAUUUUCUGCUUCACAUUCUCCAUGAUCGUGGAUUUUCUACAAAAUGGAUUCAAUGGGUUCAGAGAUGCAUUGCUUCGACCUUCUCUAUUCUAGUAAAUGGGGAGGCCUCAAGCUUUUUCAAAAGCUCGAGGGGUCUUCGACAAGGCGAUUCACUAUCUCCAUUCCUUUUCAUCCUUGUCAUGGACGUUCUUACAACCAUUUUCAAUGUUCUACAGGAUAGUCUCGACCUUGCAGGCUUUUUUAUGAAUGAUACUAGAAGGGAGGGUGAGGUUACUCAUUUGUUAUAUGCCGAUGACACCAUUAUGUUCUGUGAGGCUUCUAUAGGGCAAGCUAGGGCCAUUCUUGGUGCUCUUAUUGUUUUUCAGACAAUUAUCGGGCUCAAGGUCAAUCUUAGUAAGUGCAGUGUUUGCCCUGUUGGGCCGGUUGAUGACCCUCGGAUGUUUGCAGAUAUUAUGGGAUGCGAGAUCGAGAUAUUUUCCUACUCGUAACUCGGUCUGCCUCUCGGCUCAAGAGCUAUCAAUAGCUUGUUGUGGGAUCCUGUGAUCUCGAAGGUGCGAAAUAGACUUGAAACUUGGAAGGCUAGACACCUAUCUUUUGGAGGUCGCAUGGAGCGCAUAAAAAGUGUGUUGUCAAGUCUCCCGACGUACUUCCUGUUGGUCUUCCGUGCCCCUAUGAAGGUUAUCAAAAGCAUUGAAAGGAUCCAGAACUCUUUCUUGUGGAGUGGGAUGAGUGACACAAAAAAGUUUCAUAUGAUUAGUUGGGAAAAAGUAAAAGUCCCCAAAGAUCAGAGUGGAUUAGGCCUCACAGACCUUAGAUGCAUGAAUCAGGCUCUCCUCGGUAAAUGGAUAUGGAGAUUUGGAAUUGAAACAGAAGCUUGGUGGAGGGAACUCAUUAAGUUGAAGUUUGGCUUAGAAAGAGGUUCGGAAUGGUGGACGUUCUGUUCUGGAGUUUCUUCUGGUUGGUCUAUUUGGUUCUGGAUUUGGAAAGAGAGUUCGGCUUUUUGGGAGCUUGCUUUUGUCGAUCUGAGGGGAGAGGAAAGAGUGAGAUUUUGGCAUGAUAUUUGGGUCCGUGGGAAACACUUGGCGAGAGAUUUUCCGAGGGUUACGGCUGCUGCGCAAUCCUUAGACGCUUUUAUUACUGAUGUUUGUGUUUUUGGUGACAGGCUUCAUUGGAACAUUGAACUUACUCUUACCUUGCGUGGAGGUGCCCAUGAGGAGCUUAUGAGAAUUCACCAUAUGCUCAAUGACCUUCCCGAGGACACACUAUCGAAGGGACCUCCUUCCAUGAGAUGGGCUCCAGAUAUGAAGCAUGGAUUCACGGUCAAAUCAUUUAUGUCAAAGAUUUUGCUCACAAUGUUCCCCGGCAUUGCUCAGUUCCCGAAUGCCGCCAUUUGGAUCUCUUUGGCUCCAACAAGAGUUUGUUGUUUUGUGUGGCUAGCUAGUUUAAACUCCAUAACCACGAUUGAUAACCUCUAUCGACGCGGAAUCAUCGUCCCCAACAGAUGUGUGUUAUGUCGCCAUGCAGAGGAAACAGUCUCUCAUCUCCUGCUUCACUGUCGAUUCUCGUAUAAGGUAUGGAUGCAAUUUUGGCAAACUUUGGGCAACAUUGUUCUUUUUCCUCAUGAUGUGAUUGGUCUUAUUGAGGGAUGGACUGAAGGCCAAAACUAUAGAGGUUCUUGUAAAUUUAGAAAGGUGUUACACUUGGCGAUUUUGUGGUCAUUAUGGAUUGAGCGCAACAAUAGAAUUUUUUGAGAUAAAAGCUACUCAGCUUCACAGUUAGCUUGGAAAAUUGCGUUCAACACAGCUCGAUGGCUACAAGUCCAUAAUCAGGCUUCACAGGUGGAUUGUUCGAAGUGGUUGAACGGGAUUUUUCACCCGCCGUAGCUUGCAGAAUGUUCCUUUUUGCAUUUUGUUCGGCUGUUGCAGGUUUUGGGGUCUUUGCUCUUCGAGAAUCUCCAUUUUCUGCCUUCUUUUCUUCCCCAAGCUAACGCUAAUCAAGUAGAAGCUCUUGUUUUGAUCACGCUGUUGUCAUUUGACAGUGUUAUGAUUUUAUUGGUCCUUCUCCUGACAGGUUCUCAUCUUCUUCUUUUAUUUAUAUCCCACCUGCUUAAACAAAUAUGUGUCUGCUUUGCUUCUUUUUUAUGCUUUUGGUUUUGCUGUAAUUUCCAAGGGACCUUGCAAUUUGCAAGGCUUUUGGCAGGAACAGUUUGUACAUAUUCGUUAUUUAUAACCUCAGCUCAUUUAUCAAAAAUAUUUUUCCGUCAACAAAGUGGCGGUUUACAAUAUCUUCAGAUUAAACAGCAUGUUCAUGCUUACAUCAUGAACAAGUUAUCUCAAGCCAUGCACUAACCCAUGCAACCACAUUGGAUUCAGCUCAAACAUGUUCUUAUAUAUCUAUGUGGGACUCCAACUCACAGUACAAAAGUGUUAGUGUUGUACGUUUUUGCAUUGAUAAUCCCAUAAUAGACCAGAGCAUGAAACCAUCCAAAUCAUGUUAAGAAACAUCAAAGGCAUACUUAACACGCCACCAGAACAGAAACAAAUUGAAGCUAAGCCUAGGGGGUUGCAGAACCCGUGGGUGGGCAGCUAGCAUGCAUAUCACUACUACCUAGCCUAAUAAUGCUAAUACAGAAGUCAGAAUGUCAGUACAGCUUAUAGCUACUGAUCACAUGUAACAAAUGAGCAUCAAGCUCCAAAAUUGACAUUCAUGAUAGAUCUACGUUACUCAUUAAAAAGUGAGUGCACCGAAAAUUUUGGUAUAAACCAGAUAUACUGAAGAGUUCACACUGUUUAUCAGAAAUAUAAAUACCCUUCUGCCGUUAGAUCAAUCAAAGGCACAAACCCCUUAGAUCUAACGACUGAGAAACGUCAUAGACAUCCUAAAAUUAUUGAAAUCCUGUAUUUCAAACCUCUCUUAUUCCUAAGGGUCGUCACCUUUCAUCCUUUUUCAAAAAUGGGUAGUAAAUAGUAAUUUUUUGAUUUAAACCAAAACACACCUUCCAAAAUUAUCCAAAUAACACAGUUUCCCUUUUUUGUUUGGAUUGACACACCCCUUCAUUAACACACCCCUUCAUAAAGAGGUGUAUAUGGACAAUCAUCAUAUUAUAAAUAAGAGGGAUGUGAUUUGGAGGAGGAGACAUCAAUCCUAUUUACAUUCUCCAUCCAAUACAUAAAAAGUUCAACAUAGAAAUGCACUUUGGUCAUAAAAGUGAUGAAGUAAUCUUUCUCUUAAAGUUUUCAAGGUUUUACUCUUAUCUCUUGAGUUUAAGAAUAAGAGUGGUGAUGAUUUUAUACUCAUGAGAGAUAUCGUGUAACUCCGGGCUUAUAAGGGUUGAAGUACUUUUUUCGAAAAGUGGUAUUCAUGAUUCUAUUACGAUCCAAAAUCCCCCUUGGUUCUCUUAAACAUUGUUGUGCACGAAUAUCUCAACUUGAAUAUUAUAAAAAAUGAUUCUUAAAAUUGUAGGAAUUUAAAUAGUCCUUAUGACUCUCCUAUUUUAUAGGAACAUAAAUUAUUUUAUGUUCAAUUAACAAGAUUUCAUUUUUAGAAAAGCCUCACCAUUUUUCCAUACUCAUUGUUUACAUGAUAUCCCUAAAUUAACCCUAAAUAUGUUAAAGAGAAAUCAUUUCAUGAGAAUUAUUAAGAUUAAUAUUAUUACUACUUUUCAGUUAUAAUUGAAUAUGAUUGUUGUCCGAUUAGUAAUUACUAGGACUUAACUCAAUACUUUGAUAGAGGUACGGACCAGCUUCCAGAACGAUAUCUAAAUCGCUUGAACAAUUUAAAAAAAAGAAUGGAAUCCUAAAAGAAUUGGUUAAGAGCUUGCUCUUGUGACCCAUAUGAUCCACUUUACAAAAAUCUCAUUGUACUCCAAAAGCUUGUGGCAUUGGUCGUGUUUCAAACUUAGCCACUUGUUGGUUCUUUUUCAAAAGUUUCUCAAAUCUCGAAAGUUAAGCGAACGACGUUGUUUUGCACUAGACCGACAACUUAACCAAAUGAUGUUGGUUUACUGUGUUAGAUUGGCAGCUUCUUGAAUGGCGACAUAGACUAUCAUCCACAUCAUUUGGGUCAGUAUUGUUCGCAUGAUAUGUUGUCUCAUGGAUACGUUUUCCUAGAUAUUCAUGAAUUUCAUGAAUUAUGAAUGUGACCAGCUUUGCCUGCAUGAUAUAUUAUUCAAGGAUACAUCCUCCUUAAACAUCUACGAUUUUUACGAUUUAGGCAGUAGGGCUAGUUAGUUGAGGGACGCCCCACAAAACAUAAGUUAACCGAUUUUAACCAAAACCAAAAAAUCAUCCUUACUUAAAUACCACAUCAAAAUAUCAAAAUAAAUAAUAAAAUAAAUCUUUAUGUGGCGAUCCGUGAAAACUUUAUCCCCGUGGAUUUCAAUCGCCUUCAUGAGUUCCACUAUUGUUAGAGUCCUUCGGAGUGCUAGUCAAGCUUGAGGAACUGGUCGUGAUGUCAUGAUUAAACUUGGCGUCUUCAUGUUACCGGAGUGCACUGAGGUUGCGCCGGCGAUUAGGAGGAUUUGUGUUCGUCGACGUCUCGCUGGCGACAAAUCUUCGAGGAAAGUCGAAUCUCCAUCGAUGCUUCAGAUUCCAUUUGAUCCACAUACCCACGCGUCGUCUCCUAACGACCUCCACCUCUACAUCGCCGCCACAGUCACCAUAUCUCCAUCUGAUAUUAUUUCGGAGUUGCAUCUUUUGGAUGAUUAAGCCGAUUGCACUGAUCUCCCUACCGGUACAGAUUUCGACCGCCUUGCAGAAGGAUAGAAUAGUCAAGUUUAAUUAAUUGAUAUAUGCAUGUUGAUUCUUCCCCUACAUAUUGCAUUACCUUAAUUAUUGAGUGAGAUUUUGGUUCUAUAUUUUGGUCCAGCUAGAAGAGCGAUUAGUUGUGGUUCAACUUGAAUAUUCGACUUAUUUUAUUUGAUUCUUAAUAAGAUUAAUUCAUAUUAUGAUGAAGAACGGUUUGAGAAGAAGAAGAAGAGAAGAAAGAAAAAAAAUGAAUCAUUAUUGGUUGAAGAGAAGAAGAAAAAGAAAAAAUAGCACCCGUGAGAAGAUAGAGGAGCAUUUAAACUUUUUAUUUUUUUUAUUGUUUGAUUAUCAUAUUAUAAUAAUGAUAAUGUGAUAUUUUCUAUAGCAAUGUGACGUGGUACCAAUCAAACAAAUGUCACAUAAUUUUUAUUUAUUUUGUCAUUAUCAAUGUUAAAAAUAUAAUAAAAAAUUGUCUUACAAAAUCUAGCUUGAUUUGUCAAAAUCUUGAAAGUUUUAGCUAAUUUGGAGUAUUAGCCCUUUUGGAAAAAAAUAUUUAGGAUAUUAAGAAACUUUUUUUCAAUAUGUAUGAUAAUUAUUUUUAGUAGAAUUAUUUAUAAUUUUUUUUACUUUUGAUUAUAAAAUUCCUUGGUAAAAAUAACUUGGUAAAAGAGUUGUUUAAAUACUAUCAAGAAAGUGUAAUGUCGUUAUCAAAUUUUAAGUUUUUUUCCCGCUUAAGAGGGCAUUUUAGUAAAUUCAUUUAUUGUAAAGAUGUGGGUGUUAUAGAUCGGCCGGUUUGAGCGCGAUCCGCACAUGGGCUGAUAUCGAGUCGUCGGUUGAUGGAAAUGGUCGAAAUUGGGUGUUGACCCAGUUUGACCGGCAAACCAUCUGAUUGGACCUUGUUUGCUAACCCGUCGGUGGGACCACCACGACUAAAAUAAAUGACGCCGUUUUAUUAAAUAAAAAAUUUUAAAUUAUAAAAAUAUGAAAUUGAAAUUUGAGAGAAUCUUAGCUAACCCUAAAUCGCAAAAUCUAAAAUCAAUUCAACAAUCGUGUUCUUCUUUCAGUUCUUCGUGCGACGCAGUUGCUCCAACAAAUCGCUCGUCCAUCACCUUUUAAAAAUUGUCGGCUUUCAUCGUUGGUUGCCGACAAUUCCGACAGCUUCUCUCUUACAAGCAGACCCGGAAGUAAGCAGUUCUUCCUACUUCUAGUUGUCCCAUUUCAGCAUCUCUAAAAUCUUGACGGAAUGGUUCAACUGAAAUUGCUUGACGAAAUUUAUAAAAUGACUACUUCUUGAUUGCCCUUCUUCUUGCUGUUGUUGAUUUGUUGUAGACAUGCAGAGGGUACUAGAAAAGGGUGUUGAGAAAUGGCAUUCUUGGCCUUUUUUUCGCUAUUGUUCCAAUAAUAGGAACUUUGAAAUUAAAGAAUACUGUAUCUUCUGAAGCAGAAGCUCAAUCAUAGACAUUAUUUUAAUUUAGUGUUCGAGGAAAAAUUUACUCGUUACGAGAAUAUGCUAUGGAGAGCAAUGGAAAAUAUUGGAGCAUAAGAGGUUAAGCAAUUUGGUGUUUUUCCACUAUAGCAUGCGCUUACAACAUAUACAAAUACUCUUAUUAACAUUUGGCAUUGCAGCUUGAAUUAUUAACUGCCAGUUGCAGCUUAAACUAUGAAUUGUCAUUUACUUGAAUUGUCAUUAUUUUUAUUAGGAAGUAUUAUGAAAGUUAUAGCCCAUGUUAUUCAAUUGAUUCAACAGAUGAUUCAACAGUUGUAUAGGUUGAGGAAUCCACUCUAGAUUCUCAUAUCGAUUUUUUGAGAAAAAAAAUGAUUAUUCAAAUGUCGACUUUAAACUUGGAAUAAGUAGAGCUACCCAUGAAAAAAUUAGUAUCAUAGGCGUUCCUACAUGAUAAAUAUCAUGAUUUUCUUUCAAUUUUCAAAUUUUCUAUAUAUUGUGUUUAUCAAGAUGUUUGAAAUUUGUGCACUUGAUACUCUUUUUUGUGGUUCUAGUACAAUUUCAGACUCAUUCUUCAUUCUUAAGAGUUAGAGUAGGAUAAGUACAAACUGCAUCACCAAAUUAAGUGCUCUUCCUUAUGCAUCACCAAAUUAAUUACCUUCUGUGGAUGUUUCAAUCGUAGUUUUUUUUUGUAUAAACGGUUCAAUUAUGUUUUUCAAGCCUCUCAUUCUUUUGCAUUAAAUAAUUCAUAAUUUGUAUUGUAUGAUGUACUAUUUGAUUACUCUGGGUUUGCAGAUCUCAUGAGGAUUGGAUUUAAAUUGCUCGCCUAAAUUCUUUUGAACUAGUAAAAAGGUACUAUUUCAAUUUUGAUAUGAAAACAAUGUCCCAACUAAUUUAAUCUGUAAAACCCAGAGAAAUCCCACUAGUACUAAGAUCCAUGAGCCACUCCACUCCCUGGAUAAAUUCGCCUGGGGUGUACUGAACCGCAUCGUUCUUCCCAAUCACUUCAAAUCCCUUCCAAUUCACCCUCCCAGUGGUUAUGGCUCCGGCGCCGCGAUUUCUGUAUUCAGCGAACAACAAAGUGUCUAGGUAGAGAUCCCCAUCCCAAGGCAUCCACCCUUGAGGAUGGAUGACGCCUCCGAUCUCUGACUCCAUGACCACAGCCCUGGAGUAGGCCUUCCAUGGGCGGCCGAGGUACGAAAGAGGCGCCCCGAACUCUGAUCCGAUCCUACAAUUCUGGAUAACAAUCCCGGUUGUCUGGUGUCUGAUUACUCGUCCUUGGGCGAUUAUUGUGUUCCUUUGAUUGGGCAUGGGACGAUGCAGGAUGAUUAGUGAGUUUUGAAUAACAGCAGAGGCGUCGCCGAAAAUGAAAUCGAUAGUGCCGGAGAUGAUGCAGUUAUAGUAGAACUGACGAUGAGCGUGGCAGUAGAGGGAGUCUUGGUAGGCGUUGAUUGCACAGUCUAUGAAAGCCGAUUUAUCUCCUUGGACGCGGAGAGCCACUGCUUGGUACCCUUCUGGCCCUGCUGUGUUCCUGAAGCACAUUGACUUUGCUAUAAAACCUGAUCCCAACGCCUCUGCAAUAUCACGAAUAAAUAAUUGUCACCUUCUUCAAUCCAAAAAGGUAACGUGGUGAUAUUGUCAGAAAACUAAUGCAAAAAAGUGUGUGAUAAUAUCAUUUAAUAAUCAAUUCACCAUGCUUUAGGCUGAUAAUCGACCACCCAAAAAUUUAUGUGACGUCAGUAUUAUUCAAUAUGAUUCCCGUCAAAAGGGUGGGUUUUCUGUAUAAAAAAAUUAUUUAAUUGACAGAAAAUUAACUGACCAAAUGUGGCCGUUUUCAUUGUCCGGUAGCCCUGGCGGUUGCAUCUAUCUCCAGUAACAAUAGUGUGUUGGGCUCCAUCUCCAUACAUGAAUACAUUGCGGUGCUUCUUCCCAACAGUAACGUAUUCCUUGUAGACCCCUGCCUUGACAUAAAUCACAAAUAAUCCUCCAUUUCCAGUUGCAACUGGAUCCUUAUAAGCAGUCAGAGCAUCUGAAAUGGUCCUGAAAUCCCCGCUCCCAUCCUGCGCCACAACCACAUCCGGAUCCAAACUCCCAUCCCAAUAUCUUGCCAGCACCCUCCUACGCCUUUGAGACGACGUCCCCGUUGGAUCUGCCAGCAAUUUUCGACCUCUUGGUACCGGAAUGUCAUUAACAAUGGCGAGAGCAUUGCUCGUCAAUUGUGUUGCUUUCUCUAUCCCGGAUUUCAUAAUCGACUUGUACAAAUUGUUGUCCUCUCCAAAUUGAUCGAGGCAGGUCUGCUGAUAUGAAACCACAGCGCUUAGCCAGUUCUGUAGCUCCGAGACCACAUGUCCUUUUUUGCUUAUGCUCAUGUUUCCUAAUAAGGAAAGAGACUCUUGAAGCUCGAAAACGGAGUCCCCUAGGAGAUCUUUACAAUCUUCCAAUGCCAUCCUCGUGUAAUUGGUACUGGUUGCUGCAUUUUCAUGGCGAAUCUUGUGCAAUAGAGACGCGGAGAGGUUGAAGGAUCUCUUUGCGGCUUCCGUAGUGGCAAAUAUGGCAGCUUUGAUGAAUUCCUUGGGAUCAUCCGCUUUCUUCACUGUAUGUAGGGUCCUGUGGCAAGCCUGCUUGUAAUCGGCGGAGGCGCAGAUUUGAGUUAUUGUUUUCGACUUGGUGCUGUUAUACUUGUAUCCUGUAGCCAGGGUAUUGGAUGUGUUUAUGAGAAUUAGGGACAAUACUAGUGCUGAGCUGAUUUUUAAGUACAUCUUAUGUAGGUAUUCACUACUGCCUUUUAUUUCUUGUAUUCUCAUCCUAAUGGCUUUUAAACCUCAUAGGUUUCUUUAAAAUUUUGCUCACUAUUAGUACCGUCUCACUUUAUCCCUUGAUUUCUAAUUAUGGGAGUAGCGAGAGAUUGAUGGCGUAAUUAUUAUUAAAUAUGAGCAAAUUAGCAACUUUUUUUUUUAAAAAUGAAAAUGUAUGUAAAGGAAGUUUAGUGUACCACUGGAAAAUAAUUUCAAAGAAUAGUGAGUUUACAAAGAGACAGCGUAUUUGGUUCUCCACUUCUUUCGAAAGAUUUGACCAGAGAGCUUUGUGGAUCAAAUUGGAAAAGGACUCCGGUUUUCUAUUUGUAAAUNNNNNNNNNNNNNNNNNNNNNNNNNNNNNNNNNNNNNNNNNNNNNNNNNNNNNNNNNNNNNNNNNNNNNNNNNNNNNNNNNNNNNNNNNNNNNGGUUUUCUAUUUGUAAAUAAUUUUUCUUUUAAAAUUAUAGAGACGUAUUAAUAUGUAAUCACUUCCACUCACUUUUAAGGUUUUAACUCAAUCGUUAUAUAACUCUUUUCUUUUUCCUCUUAUAGUUUCAUAGCUUAAGAAAGUAAGGUACAUCCUAAAUUAAAGAUGAAGAUGUCAAUUUUAAUUCAUGAUUAUUCAUUCAAACUCAAAGUUGUGAAACAAGCUGAAAUUUAAANNNNNNNNNNNNNNNNNNNNNNNNNNNNNNNNNNNNNNNNNNNNNNNNNNNNNNNNNNNNNNNNNNNNNNNNNNNNNNNNNNNNNNNNNNNNNNNNNNNNNNNNNNNNNNNNNNNNNNNNNNNNNNNNNNNNNNNNNNNNNNNNNNNNNNNNNNNNNNNNNNNNNNNNNNNNNNNNNNNNNNNNNNNNNNNNNNNNNNNNNNNNNUCCAAUUAAUGGGCGUACAACUUUGUACAAGAGUCGUAUGAAUCAUAAAAAUGUGUAUAUGUUUAUACAAACUCAUAUAAAAGUUUAUACACAAUUGUUUACCCUCUCUCUCGCAUGAACCCGACCUUCUAGUUCGAGCUUCCUUGGUGUAAUAAGGCGCGUUGUUUUAAUUCUCUAAAUUUAUUGUGUUAGUAAAUGAAGUAGUUUCGUAACAAUUGUUUAUCAUUAAUAAAUAUAUGUUUAUCUUGUCUUAAAAUUGGUAUAUUAAUAUUGAAUUAAUUUAGUAGUUAGGUUGAACAUUGAAUGUGUAACAUCCCAGUUUUACCUUUUGAAACAAACGAAAAAUUGUCCUGGUACACAUGACACAGUUUUGUAAUAGUACAAAAUAAAAAUAAAAUUAUACAUAAACGAUACUGGUAACUUUUGCAGGAAAACUGAAAUAUUACGCCAAACAACUUAUUUCCAUAAGCUAGUGUCAAACAGUGAAUGGACCCAUCUUUUAAAACAAAUUCCAGAAAUAUACAGUCUCGUGAAUAUCCCAACUUCAGUCUGGCGGCAGAUGAACAGAUCCUCUAAUAAUUCUUCUAAUACCAUAUAACUUGUAACGCACUGGUGGUUGGCUCGGGGUCAGUCUUCCGAAGUUAUCAUAUAGAUAUCAAUGUUGAAAAUCAUUUAAAAGAUAACCAUAUAGCAUGUAAAGCACAUUGCACAACUCUUGACUCUACUUUGCAUAUUUUAAUUGGGAUCCCGGCUCACAUAUGCUGACGACCCAUAUACAUGUUAGUGGCACCAAAUCGGGCCGCAUAUAAUGGCGCCUACCAAGGCCCACGACGACAGUUAGUGUGGGAAGCCCACCACGUAGCUAUAUUGCAUUAAGCACGAUCGUCAACAUAUGGGCUCUAACUAGGUGAUCAAUCAAUACCAAUAUUACUCUUGUAACAGAACUUGUUCAACUGAACAAUUACAUGUAACAUAUCAUAUCAGCAAUAUAUCACUUAGGAUAUAAUAGAAUAUAUGGAUCACAUAUAAUUGACAUGUCACGUUGUCACAUAUAAUGCAUUUAAAACCUUUAAAAUCCAAUUAUUAUUCAUGUAAUUCAAAAAAGCAUAACUAACACAAGUAAAAAAUAAAUAUUUAAAAUGGAAGAUAUUACCCCCUUAAACCAACCCACCUGGAAUUAACCAGGUUAACUCAAAAUACGGUUAAACGUCCAAGAACAGAACAAUUGUGGCUUAACUCAACACUUUCGGGCCAAACUGCAAUAAUUUAAAAGUUACAGACUGUGUACAAAAAAUAAGAUAGUUUAGGUACUAAACUGGAAGUAUGAAAGUUCGGGGACUAAACUGGAUAUUUACCACACAGACGGGAAUUCAUUUUUCCAGUCAAAUUUCCAGAAUCCGGCUACGACGAACCCAAGCUCCGGUGAGCCUUGAAUCACCACUAAAACUCGAGCAAACUCAAAUCGAAGGAUAAGUAAGGUUUUAUCUCGAUAAUACGAAGUCAACCGAGGUAUUUAAAGGUCUUGGGUUGGUUUAGAAUUUGCCGAAUCGACGCAAGUCGACGUUGGAGACGAAAACGGAGAAGACGGGAACAAAAUUUCGGCCUCUCCGUUCAUUACUAGCUCUGGACGGCUUUAAAUAGCCAGGCGAUUUCCCACGAGCGACAGUUUGGUCUUGAUUCGAGGCAUAGACACAUGGAUUUGCAGUUCAAUCGCCGGAUACAAACAAAGGUCACCGAUGGAAUAGAUAAGGAAGACGAUGAAGAUGACCAGAUUCAUCCAUCAAAACGACGUCGUUUUAUGGUUGGUCUUGAUUCGAGGCAUAGACACAUGGAUUUGCAGUUCAAUCGCCGGAUACAAACAAAGGUCACCAAUGGAAUAGAUGAGGAAGACGAUGAAGAUGACCAGAUUCAUCCAUCAAAACGACAUCGUUUUAUGGCUGAGUGAAAGUGAACCUAAAAUUAAAACUAAAUGCUUCUCCUGGGAUUUGAACUUGAGUUAAUAGACUUGAGGACUGGUUGGUUAACCAGUUGAGCUACUAACAAAUCUAUGAUCAUUUUACAAACUGAUUAACUAUAGUUAAACCAUGUGAAACUUAAUGAGCUCAACCCCUUUGAUUAGCAAUUAAUUACACCAUUUUCAAAUAUAAUUAUUAUUAUCUAAUAUCGAUAUAAAUCUCUUUUUCUUUUACGGAUAGAUUAGAGACUUUUACAUAAAUAUUUUUGUAUUAGGGUCGGGGUAUUACAUUUCUCUCCUCCUUAAAAAGAUUUCGUCAUCGAAAUCAAAAUAAAACCACACAAAAUCUAAACACACAUAGAUUAAGUAACCACAAUUUAUUAAGGACGAGGAACUUGUAAACAACACCAUACAAUAAUUAGCCAGGCAAAAAGAUCAUGUUCUCCUUAUGUAAACAUCAGAUUGACUUCUACGAAUAGGUUCAAUUGGAAGAUUCUCUGGACGUCAUUGCUCUUUUAGAUAUGAUCAAGAUGAAGAAAAUGGCCACAAGCAGAAUAAAAUUCACCCCAAUCAAAGCUUUCGAGAAAUUAGAGAAAGCCAUUUUUUUCCUAAACAAGACUCAAGGUAGAAAAUUGAAACUUAAACUCGGAAUAAAUAGGAACUAUCUACUAGCAAUAAAUACCUAGAGAAGUCCAAUAAAUAACUUCUCAAUUCCAAAGAAAAGAGGUGCUGAGAAUGGGAUAAUUGCAUGUGCUCAUUAAUGCACCUCCUACUUUAUCCUCGUGUCGGGAACGUGAAAGAUGAACAAGGAGGGGAGACAUGAUUAAUGGUAGUCAAUAUUUGUCGAACUUUACAGAUCACUAGCAUACCUGUCAAGUACACCAAGAAAAAAAUUAUGUGAUCGGUGAGGUAACUUUUUAAAAGUCACACCUUCUUAGUCUUGUAUUUAAACCUAGGGAAUGCUGCACUUUACACAAAAAUAAAAUUCUCGUCAAGGGUUCUUCUAAAAUCAAUUACCGAAGGGAAAAUUCAGAUGGAGACCUCCAGGGGAACAAACAAAGGAAAGGGUACGAUUGUGACGCCACCUACAUGUACCUUACAACAUACUGGAGGAGCUGGAAAUACUACAGGUUAUUCUUAUCCUCCCGGUUUUUGUCCUUUUUGCGAAGCGAAGAAAUCCGAAUGGUUAAUCGAUAGCGGCUGUACUAAUCAUAUGUCUCCUAACGAAAAUAUUUUCUUUGGAAUUGAUUACAAUAUUAAUACUUCUAUUGCGGUGGGAGAUACCAAAUUAAAAGUCAAGGGCAAGGGUUCUGUCAUGAUAGGUCCACUCAUUAUUCAAGAUGAUCUACUGGUUCCCGGUAUCAAGAUGAGUUUUCUAAGCGUUGGCCAGCUCAUAGAGAAAGGAUUUUCUUUUCUCUUCAAAGGAAACUAUGGUGCAAUCUACGAUCCGAAUGGAAAUCUAUUUGUCCAAAUUCCAAAGUCGGGUAGGAUUUUCUACUUACUUUAACUUAUUCCCAUCAACCACAAAAUGUAAUACAAGGAACACCAAGGAGAAACUUCUACCGCUGUUUUCCAUGAAGGACAACCACAGAAAGAAGAGAGUAAUAGAGCUCCAGACAAGAGAUCAUGGAUCCAAAAGAGAAAAAGGAGGAAGAAGACUCCAGAACGAUGUUGUUAACCAGGGUAACAGAGAUUAUGCUAAAUAAAUCGCUUGUACUAUCGUCAAAUAAAUUGUAACCAUGUUUAUUAAUAAAAGCAAGUUCAGUUACCCACAAAGACUACUUGUUCAUUAGAAGACAAUCAAAGGGAACACCUUCGAAAACAUAACAACCAUUAGUAACUCAAAAACGGAAAAUACAACCUAUCAGAAAGACAACCUUUUCAUCUAUCACGUCGGCGCUUUUACUCAACCUCCUUGAGGGUUUCCUGGUAACGACGAUCAUCCUCACGGAGGCAUUGCCUCAUAAACCAAAAAAUGAACAAAAGGAAAGAGAUAACUAUAAACAUAAAAAUCUUCACAGUGAAGAGAGCUUCGGAGGAUUCCGUCAUUAUUUAGACGAGAAAAUGAAUUAAAACUUCAAUCUCUAAACAAAUUGAGAAAGGAAACUUCAAUGGCGUCGGAUGGGAAAAAGAAGAAGAUUGAGAGUUUAAGAAGAAGGUGGAGGUGAAGUGGGCACAAUAAUUGUGUCCUUCACUAUUACUCUGUCGGCAUAAAAAGACAAAACAAGAACCAAUCCUCUGUCGGUAUAAAAAGACAAAACAAGAACCAAUACCGAGAACCGGUUUGGUUGAAAUAUCAUCUGUCGUCCGCACCAAUAACCUUGACUUUGAAGAGGGACUUGAGACUGUUUUUAUGAAUCCAUGAUCCUUUUCAAAACUCUGAUUUGAAAUAAUCAAAAUCUCAAUUUGAAAACUCCGGGAUUAGUUGAUAUAAGAUCGAUCCUCUAGUAUUUCUUAGUAACCCAAGAAAUAAAAGAAGACCGGCUUUGAUACCAACUUGUAACAUCCCAGUUUUACCUUUUGAAACAAACGAAAAAUUGUCGCGAGACACAUGACACAGUUUUGUAAUAGUACAAAAUAAAAUUAAAAUUAUACAUAAACGAUACUUGUAACCUUUGUAGAAAAACUGGAAUAUUACGCCAAACAACUUAUUUCCAGAAGCUAGUGUCAUAUAGUGAAUGGACACAUCUUUUAAAACAAAUCCCAUAAAUAUGCAAUCUCAUCAAUAUCCCAACUUCAGCAGCGGCAGAUGAACAGAUCUUCUAAUAAUUCUUCUAAUACCAUAUAACCUGUAACGCACUGGUGGGUGGCUCGGGGUCAAUCUUCCGAAGUUAUCAUAUAGAUAUCAAUAUUGUAUAGUGCAUUAAGCACGAUCGUCAACAUAUGGGCUCUAACUAGGUGAUCAAUCAAUACUCAUAUUACUCUUGCAAUAUAACUUGUUCAGCUAAACAAUUAUAUGUAACAUAUCAUAUCAGAAAUAUAUCACUUAUAAUAUAAUAGAAUAUAUGGAUCACAUAUAAUUGACAUGUCACGUUGUCACAUAUAAUGCAUUUAAAACCUUUAAAAUCCAAUUAUUAUUCAUGUAAUUCAAAAAAGCAUAACUAAAACAAGUAAAAAAUAAAUAUUUAAAAUGGAAGAUAUUAUCCCCUUAAACCAACCCACCUGGAAUUAACCAGGUUAACUCAAAAUACGGUUAAACGUCCAAGAACAGAAUAAUUGUGGCUUAACUCAAUAAUUGUGGCUUAACUUUCGGGCCAAACUGCAAUAAUUUAAAAGUUACAGACUGCGUAGAAAAAUUAAGAUAGUUUAGGUACUAAAGUGGAAGUAUGAAAAUUCAGGGACUAAACUGGAUAUUUACCACACAGACGGGAAUUCAUUUUUCUAGUCAAAUUUCCAGAAUCCGGCUACGACGAACCCAAGCUCCGGUGAGCCUUGAAUCACCACUAAAACUCGAGCAAACUCAAAUCGAAGGAUAAGUAAGGUUUUAUCUCGAUAAUACGAAGUCAACCGAGGUAUUUAAAGGUCUUGGGUUGGUUUAGAAUUUGCCGACGCAAGUUGACGUCAGAGAAGAAAACGGAGAAGACGGGAACAAAAUUUCGGUCUCGUCCGUUCAAUACUAGCUCUGGACGGCUUUAAAUAGCUAGACGAUUUCCCACGAGCGACAGUUUGGUCUUGAUUCGAGGCAUAAACACAUGGAUUUGCAGUUCAAUCGCCGGAUACAAACAAAGGUCACCGAUGGAAUAGAUAAGGAAGACAAUGAAGAUGACCAGAUUCAUCCAUCAAAACGACGUCGUUUUAUGGCUGAGUGAAAAUGAACCUAAAAUUAAAACUAAAUGCUUCUCCUGGGAUAUGAACUCGGGUCAAUAGACUUGAGAACUAGUUGGUUAACCAAUUGAGCUACUAACAAAUCUAUGAUCAUUUUACAAACUGAUUAACUAUAGUUAAACCAUGUAUCACUUAAUGAGCUCAAUCCCUUUGAUUAAUAAUUAAUUACACCAUUUUCAAAUAUAAUUAUUACUAUUAUUUAAUAUCGGUAUAAAUUCCCUUUUUUACGGAUAGAUUAGAGACUUUUAUAUAAAUAUUUUUGUAUUAGGGUCGGGGUAUUACAGAAUGCAUAAUACAUUGAAAUGUAAGUUAUUUGAUUUGAGAUACUUAUUGUUUAUUAUUGAUUGUCUUAACGUAACUACUAUAAUAGUAAAUUAGUUGCUUUUCAAAUGGAUAAGUUUUAGAUUAAAAUGCAUCAUUUUUUAUGACUAUAUAAUCGGGUUUGAAUUUUUUUUUUUAUUUUUUNNNNNNNNNNNNNNNNNNNNNNNNNNNNNNNNNNNNNNNNNNNNNNNNNNNNNNNNNNNNNNNNNNNNNNNNNNNNNNNNNNNNNNNNNNNNNNNNNNNNNNGAUGAUGUAUACGUACAUCUCAUCCGUAAGCAAUAAUUUUCAUAGGGUAACACUUUUCAGAGUCGAUAUGGAGAGUUGGAUAUUGGACAAUCAUCUCACAAUGCUACAAUUCAAAUCGAGGUCAAUGCAUUAGUAUUUAUAGUGGAGAAUCCAGAAACUAAGCAUCAUGAUCAUAUUGUAAUUCUUUCUACCGAAGUAUUGAGUUGUGGUAUGCCUGACAAUUCUGAAGUGCCUAUGAAUGAUUAUGUCGACCCAUCUAGUUUCAACCCAUAAUGAAAUGAUGUUAACAUCGAUAUCAUCCAACAAAUGAAAGAUAAUGAUGAACCUUUGUAUGAGAUAGCGCCUAACAACCUUUGUAUGAGAGAGCGCCUAACAAGUCCUCCAAACUCUCAUUUAUUUUGAGACUAUAUCACAUCAAGUAAAUAUACAAUAUUAACGACGUCAAGGCAAUGACAAUGUUGAUUGAGUUGUUGCAUGUAACAUUUUAAUUUGCCAAGAUAUCCUCGUCCAGAUUUGUUGCGAAGAAGAUUAUAAAAUCUUUUGGGUUGGGAUAUAUUAAAAUACAUCCAUGUGAGAAUGAUUGCAUGUUAUAUUGGGGAGAUAACAUCAAUGAAGAAGUUCGCAAAGUUUGUAAAAACUGUAGAUACAAGGACGGUGAGAAUGAAGAAUUGGUUGAAGGAAAGAAAAAAAGACACAAAAAGAAGAUAUUUUGCUACUUUCCUUUGAUUUCAAAAUUGAAAAGACUAUUUAUGUCUAAAAAUUAUUGAGAGUAUGGUAUGACAUUCUAAAGAGAAGAACAAUGAUGUCAAUGGCUAGGUUUGCCAUAUAUAUCCGCUAACCAGAUAACCGCCCGUCCCCGAUCUAGUUUGACAGGUGAAUUUCCGUUUGGUCGGAUUAGUGCUCGGGUACGGGUUGACCCGUCGCUCAAAUGGUCUGGGCCCGUGUAGGGUUUCGGGAAGCCCAUAUCCACCUCAAAGCCUCGAACUUAAUAAUUGUACCCCAAAAUAAGUAGGGUUUUCAGAAAUAAUACACCAGUCCAAUUCCUCUCAUCACUCCGCUUCAAAUUCCAAUGUAGAGGAUUCCAUUCUUCCAUCCCUUUAGCCGCCAUCCAUCUAUUCGACUUCCAAUUUUCUUUUCCAACUUUCAAGAUGAAUUUCAUAUUGAUGGUUGUUUCUAAGAGGGGCGACGAAUAUGGAAUUUUGAAUCAAAUUCUCAUUCUUCAUCUUCUCAUCUAUUUUCGUUUUCGUGUAAAUAUUGACCUAAUUUAGGAUUCCUGAUUUUAAGACUCGCAAUCUUCUCAAUCAUCAUUUGCAGCUCCUCUAAUAUUUUUAAUCAUCAUCUACAAGUCCUUUAAUCUUCUCAAUCAUCAUCUAUAGAUCCUUUAAUCUUCUCAAUUUAUGUGCUAUUGAGUUCUGUAAUUUUUUUGCAAUUUGUAACACAGUUUGCUGCUUGAUCGAAUAAUUUUGCAAGCAUAUGAAUUAUUUCAAUUUUUUUUAGUAAUUGUGACGGGCUUUACCAGUUAACCCGGUGAAGGCGGACGGGUUUGAAAUUAACCCCGUUUGGGCUCUUGGGUGGGGGUUUUGAAAACCAGGAAGUAUGAUUGGGUGGGGAUCGGGGGCUCAGAAUCCAUACCAGCCCAUACCUGUUACCAAGGCUAGCAGUGGCGCGGAGCUAUGUACACCACUGGGGGAUGCGUGCAGCCCCUUGACUGGGGAAUGAAAACUUGUAUUAAUUUGUAAAAAAUGAAGGUUUCACUUUGAGAGCAGCGCUGAUGCGGACAAUUAGCAAUUUUCCAAGAUUAAACAUGUUAUAUGGCCAAAGCACUUAUGCAAUGCAAGGUUGUUCCACUUGUAAUUUUGAUUAGGAAUCUAUGCAUUUGGAAAGUAGUCUGAAGAGUUUUUUUAUUGGCUAGUAGAUAGUUCUUGCCCAUGAUACAUCAUUUUUGACACCAUAAAAAUCUAGAUUUAAUGGUAAAGUUAUCUUGAGCAUAGGGGACCAACCAAACUAUUAUUAGGAUCUUAAAUAUUAAAGCAAAUCGAAAAUAUUAAUAUCACAUUUGGGAUGGUUAAAGAGACAAAAUAGGUUGCAUCUCCUAGAAAGAAGAGAGCACUUGGAAGUGAAAACGUUGGAGGGAAAAAAGGUUGAACAAUGAAAAAAGAAAAGUUGCUUCAGUCAACUUCCUUAUUUGGGGUUCAAUAUGCUUUGACUCAAUCUUGAUGUUAUGCAUAUUAAAAAGAUUGUAUGUGAUAAUGUUCUAUAUACUCUAUUGAAUGAAAAGGAUCGAUGCAAAGAUCAUUUGAAAGUACAACUUGAUUUGAUGACUAUGGGAAUUAUAAAAGAAUUAUGGCCAAAAAAUGUUGGGAAGCCAUGCCCUGCUGCUUGGUAUACCUUAGGCAAACAAAAAAUAAAAGUUGUGCUUAAGACUUUAAAGGAUAUUGUCGUAUCCGAUGAAUACUCAAGUAACAUAUAAAGAUGUGUUGAUGUGGAAUAUGUUGAUGUGGAAUAAUGAAAUGUAAUAGGAUUGAAAACUCAUGAUUGGGACAUCUUGAUACAUGAACUAUUACCAUUGGUAAUUUGAAAUGUAUUACCUACUCAAGCAUAUUCGAUCUUAGUUAGAUUUUGUUCUUGCUUGAAACAAUUGUGUGCAAAAAGUUGUACAUAUGGAUGGGCUAAACAAAUGGCAAGAACAUAUAGUUGUAGCUUUGUAUCGGUAGGAGAUGUUAUUCCCCAUCUUUCUUCACUGUGAUGGUUCAUCUUGUAGUCCAUUUGGUCAAAAAGGUUAAACUCGAUGGACCAGUAUAUUAUCGAUCGAUGCAUACCAUUGAAAGGUAAUACAUCAAUCUCUUUUCCAAAAUUCUAAGUGCUUGAUUUUGUUUAAUAAAAUUCUUACUCUUUGUAUCCAGAUUUUUAGGCAAAUUGAAAUAAUUUGUGCGGGAUAGACCAUAACCAGAAGAUUCUAUUGCCGAAGUUUGGAUUUCUGAAGAAAUCUUCACCUAUACAUUAUUGUAUUUUAAAGUUGCAAUUGAGACAAUUUGACCAUGAAUCUCGAGUCUAUGGUGUAGUUGUUGAAAAAUCGCCUGAUGCAUUUAGCUUCCAUUAGAUUGGAAUUUUUUUUGGUGGUGUACAUAAUAUUACUUUAUUUGAUAUGGAAAUCUUUCAAGGGAACUAACAUGUUCUAAUCAUCUGCAACCAAGUUGUUUUCUAAAGUAAGUUCCAUGCUUCUAAUUUCUUCUACACAUUUUGGUAUAUCUUUCAAUAAUUGAUUGUUCAAUCUCAUUGACUAUCAGGGAUCCUUGUACUAUAAUUAAAGGUCUUCAUAGAAAAACACAUCUACAUUGGACAAAUAUAUCCAUAAAGAUUUUGUUAGUUGGUUCAGAAACCGAGUAAAUAAUCAAAUACUUGUGCUUUAUGUAGAAGUUUCUUAGAAUUCUCUAAUCACAUAUUUAUAUAUGUACAACUAGAUACUAAAUAUUCAAUAUGAUGAAGCAUAUUCAAAUGAUCCCAUUGUGUUGCCUCGAGGUCCUCAACAACAACCAAGAAGAUUUAGUGCUUAUGGUGACAAUAGUUAUUGAAUUUUUACACUUGCACGUGAAAAGUUCUCAAAGACUCAAAAUAGUGGAGUGUUUGGCAGCUAUGGAACCCAGAGUUAUGCAAGCCCGAUGGAUAAUCGACCUGUUGCAGGAGAGGUGUCAUAUUAUGGGAAAUUGGUUGAUAUUAUAAAGGUGAAUUACUAUGGAGAAUUCAUUUGAAAGUACAACUUGAUUUGAUGACUAUGGGAAUUAUAAAAGAAUUAUGGCCAAAAAAUGUUGGGAAGCCAUGCCCUGCUGCUUGGUAUACCUUAGGCAAACAAAAAAUAAAAGUUGUGCUUAAGACUUUAAAGGAUAUUGUCGUAUCCGAUGAAUACUCAAGUAACAUAUAUAGAUGGUUCAAAGAUAAAACCUAGAUACCGAAGUAAUUAGAGUCAAUUUCCCUAGGGCUUCAAAGAUGCAUUUACUCAAAGUGGUGUAAAGUGCUAAUCGUAAGUAACCGAGUUAUGGUAUGAGUUUUACGAUUUCUAAAACUAUCAAUUAAACUAAAUUUGCAAAUGAUAGGGAAAACAAAGAUCGCAAGUCUGCAUGGAAAAUUGUGGAGAAAAAAAUGAUAGUUAAAACUGCUUAGAUUUUGAAUCCGCUAGGCUAUCCAGACAAACAAACGAAAGAUACAAAUAAUUCACGGUCGCAUUUUUUCUCUACUUAGGUCACACCUUUUCAAAAACUGCUAACCUACUACUAACCCUUUCUUAGUAAGCUCUGUCGAGCCAAAAAUCCAAAACCUGUACGGUUAUAAAUCAAACAACAAUUACACUCAAGAUGGACUAGUCUAACUAGCCUCUUCUUAAGAGAUAUGACUAACCUAGUUGAUUGAUUUGGUGUUCUAAGAUAACAAAACUCUUUUGAGUCGAUAUAAAUCUAACAAGAACCUAUUGAAGCCGGCUUGGUAAGAAGAAGAACCUAAUCGAAAUAAAUUAUAGAUUAAAAUCCAUCCAACUCGCAUAAAUUGAAAUAAUCAAACACUUAUCUGUUCAUAAAGACUCAUCUAGGGUUCAUCUAAUAUAAGAAAGGGGAAUUUAGCUACUCACUAUCAUGAAGAAAAAACUGAAAUCAA
RNAcentral lists this long non-coding RNA (38580 nucleotides) under Linum usitatissimum (flax). Its description in RNAcentral is "long non-coding RNA (LUSI_LNC003385)". Lineage: Eukaryota; Viridiplantae; Streptophyta; Magnoliopsida; Malpighiales; Linaceae. The record is from RNAcentral.